GGCCCCUAAAGGAGCAGCCACCCCUGGGGGAGGCUCAUCCUUCCAUACAGCUGAGGCGGGGCGCAGAAUGCCAGCGCAUGGCGGCGGCGGCGCACCCCAAUGCUGGGCCUUCCCCGUCUGUACUGCGGUCAGCUGGCGAUCAGGUGGCCGGUUAUGAGUCUGGCUUAGACCUCCCGACUGUCCCUAAGUGCCAGAGGGGACCAAAGGCCAUCCACAUUUUGACUUUAGGCAGAGCCCUGCAGCUUGCUUGCUGGUGCCAGCCCCAGCUCGUGAUGACCAGCCUGGUGUCAGGGCCCAUGGUUGACCAUCCCUGGCUGAGGGGAUCAGAGAGUGAAGAAGAGCAGACCUAUGCAUUGAAUUCCUAAGACAAUGUCAGGGUCUGAAGAGAGGAAUGAAGGCCCAACUGAAAGGGGAAUUUAGACAGGAGCUCAGGAAUAACUGCAAUGUUGGAGGUUGCAGUCACCUAAGCAAGCUAGCUGGACUCCCUCAGCUUCCUCUGUUGUCCAUGAAGGCAGGUUCUCCCAAAGAACGAUCCAGACCGCUAAAUUUUGGAUCUACUUGGAUUUGCCCUCUGGAAGACCUGCUUUUUCUGCAUUAGCUAUAGAGGGGCUGGUGGAGACCUCCUUGGAUAAAGUAGGAGUCCUAGUUGGUUGAGUGUGAAUAAUCCAUCCCCAGGAUUUCUGUGAAUUAUGGGCAGGUGUGACUGCCCGGUGCCCUGAACCUUGCCCAAAGCAAGUCACAAAGGUGACAUGCAGUUGCAGAAGGGACUGUGGGUGCUCCAACUUUAAUAUGUCUCCUGGGCUUUCUUUGAAGAUUUCAUCUGCAACUGCAAAUAAACCCUUGUGUAUCUCUGACGCUUCUAUUUGGAUUAAAAAGCCAAGCGACCUUGUUUUAAAGACUGAACAAAGAGCUCUUGAGGAUACAUGGAGAUGGGUACUCGACACAUACCUGAAUUCAAACCUGGAGUACAGAAAAAGUAAACAAAUUUUAAACAUUUUUUCUGCCUUCACUAUCAAAUUGC
Molecule: long non-coding RNA, 1021 nt
Organism: Egretta garzetta (little egret)
Lineage: Eukaryota; Metazoa; Chordata; Aves; Pelecaniformes; Ardeidae
Exons: 3
Source: RefSeq, a predicted model, not a curated record